This 253-nucleotide ribosomal RNA is filed under the name uncultured bacterium. RNAcentral describes it as "partial 16S ribosomal RNA". It matches the Rfam family "Bacterial small subunit ribosomal RNA", at positions 524 to 776 of the family's 1533-position model. The record is from RNAcentral.
UACGUAGGGUGCAAGCGUUAAUCGGAAUUACUGGGCUUAAAGGGUCUGUAGGCGGCCUUGUAAGUCAGGUGUGAAAUCCCUCGGCUCAACCGAGGAAUAGCGCUUGAUACUGCAAGGCUUGAGGGAGACAGGGGUAAGCGGAACUGAUGGUGGAGCGGUGAAAUGCGUUGAUAUCAUCAGGAACACCGGUGGCGAAAGCGGCUUACUGGGUCUCUUCUGACGCUGAGGAACGAAAGCUAGGGUAGCGAACGGG